Molecule: long non-coding RNA, 584 nt
Filed under: Drosophila guanche
Lineage: Eukaryota; Metazoa; Arthropoda; Insecta; Diptera; Drosophilidae
Source: RNAcentral
GUCUUGUUGAGCGCCUGGUUCUCAGAUACCAUAAAAGCUAAAGCCACAAAAUUUUGCAUCCAGACUUCUGUAUGCUCACACUGUUACACGUGUAUUUAAAAAAUGAGCCCAACCCCCUUCCGCCCCGCAAAAGGGCGAAAACCUCACAAAUCUACAAUUUUGAAGAUAAAAGAAAACUAAAAACGCCAUUCCGCAGGGAAUGACCAUAUCUAUCAGACCACCAAAUUGGGAUCCGAUUGGACCAUUUUUAUAGCCAGAAUGAAGAAAUUAAUAUGCAGUGGCUAAACCCACCCUGUGCCGCAGCUUUUGUUGUUUUUUUCCCAUUCUCUCCUUCACACUCUGCUUCGGACUCUGCCUCUGCCGCGAGUCUGCAGUGUGUGGGUUUAGGGAAGGGCGGCGAGCUAAAGGAGCGUGUUGGUGUUAAAAGUGUUGUAGAUGUAGAUGACAGAUGAAGAAAAAAUGUCAUUUUGACAAAACACCGCUAAGGUGCAGACAUAGUACUGAGUGCCGGGUAUAAAAGAUGUGACGUGAAAGGAGCGUCUCACACGUCCCUUCUCGUUUAAAUAUGUACAGUGGGGAGCAAU